This is a long non-coding RNA of Alosa sapidissima (American shad), 103 nucleotides long. RefSeq lists it as uncharacterized. The transcript is spliced from 3 exons. The record is from RefSeq and is a predicted model, not a curated record. NCBI's taxonomy places the organism in Eukaryota, Metazoa, Chordata, Actinopteri, Clupeiformes, Clupeidae.
UGUUUACUCAUAACAGCUGGCAAUAGUGAUUGCAUGCAGAUAAGUAACCGUGCAGCAAGAUUGUGUCAGCUUAAUGUUACAGUUUGUGGCAUGAGACAGUUAG